This 349-nucleotide RNase P RNA is filed under the name Dorea hominis. RNAcentral describes it as "RNase P RNA component class A". It matches the Rfam family "Bacterial RNase P class A". From Rfam's summary of the family: Ribonuclease P (RNase P) is a ubiquitous endoribonuclease, found in archaea, bacteria and eukarya as well as chloroplasts and mitochondria. Its best characterised activity is the generation of mature 5'-ends of tRNAs by cleaving the 5'-leader elements of precursor-tRNAs. Lineage: Bacteria; Bacillati; Bacillota; Clostridia; Lachnospirales; Lachnospiraceae. The record is from RNAcentral.
CAAGUAAGACAGGUAAUCGCGGCUGUCAGGACCGAAAGGGGACAGGCGAGGAAAGUCCGGGCUUCACAGGGCAGGAUGCCGGAUAACGUCCGGUGGAGGUGACUCCAAGGCAAGUGCAACAGAAAUAUACCGCCUGUGCAUGCAGGUAAGGGUGGAAUGGCAGUUUAAGAGACUACCGCUUCUCUGGUAACAGCGAAGGCAGAUGUAAACCCCAUCCGAAGCAAGACCGGAUAAAGACGAUGUGGCGGCCCGUCACGUCUUAGGUAGGUCGCUUGAACCUGCCGGUAACGGCAGGUCUAGAAAGAUGAUUACCCAACGACAUAACUCGGCUUAUCGUUUUGCUUGCAUA